RNAcentral lists this long non-coding RNA (958 nucleotides) under Lathyrus oleraceus (garden pea). RNAcentral's name for it is "Pisum sativum (pea) long non-coding RNA (PSAT_LNC018987)". Lineage: Eukaryota; Viridiplantae; Streptophyta; Magnoliopsida; Fabales; Fabaceae. The record is from RNAcentral.
AUAAUCAGCAAUUUGGUAGGAUCUUUAUGAAAUGAAUCCAGUUUCCAAUCUUAUCCUUCAAACCUUUUAUUCUGUUUUUUGAACAUCCUUUAUACUCAGCCUAACAUGCUCAGACUUAUCUCCAGGACUGCAACACAGGUGUUUGUAUUUAUUAGAAAGAGUUGUGGUUGAUGGCCUGCUUGAACUAUGUGGGGUCUUGUAUCAUUUGGACUUAGCUCACGAUUUGCCAGCAACAUCAUAAGAUUUCUUCCACGACGCAAAACCGCUCAGGAACAACAACAGUUACGACAGCAGUGGAACCAACAUUUUCUGGUGCAACAGGUUCCCAACUUCAUUCUUAAACCUCAAAUAAUUUAGUGAAGAUUUAUCUCUGUCAGCGCUUCCUCCCGCAUGACGCCGUAUUGAAACCGAUCAAGCUUAUGAUGGACAAUACUCGUGGCUGUUAUUCCACUUCUCGAAUCCUUGUUGAAAUUGAGAGAGAGAUUCCGACGAAGGCUUAUAGUGGAGUGCAUAAUGGAUAGCUUUGUAAUGGAAGAAACCAAGAAAAAUCAACAACAAACAUGAAGAUUGGGUGAUGUAUUGAAGAAAAAGGCCAGGCCAAGUUGGAUGGGCAAGAGCAAGUGAGGGUUGACUUUGGUCAGAGUUGACCAAAAAGUCAACCGUUGACCAAAGUCAACAAUUGGUCAAAAAUGCAUUUUUUUUUGUAUUUUCUUUAUGAUUUCUUUGUAAAUGGAUAUUCUAUUAUCGGUUAGGAUGAAAAUUAAGGUUUGAGGAAUUUGGGUUGACUUUGGUCAAAGUUGACCAAAAAGUCAACUGUUGACCAAAGUCAACAAUUGGUCAAAAUGGUCAAGACUUGUAUUUUCUUGUGUAGAAUCAAAUGUAAUGGUUUAGAAUGAUGUGAAAUGAAUUGAAAUGGUUUGAAAUUUGAUUUGAGAUUUGGUUUUACCAUUGGUUUAUU